RNAcentral lists this ribosomal RNA (254 nucleotides) under uncultured bacterium. Its description in RNAcentral is "partial 16S ribosomal RNA". It matches the Rfam family "Bacterial small subunit ribosomal RNA", at positions 524 to 776 of the family's 1533-position model. The record is from RNAcentral.
GACGUAGGGUGCGAGCGUUGUCCGGAUUUAUUGGGCGUAAAGGGCGCGUAGGCGGCCACCGCAAGUCGACUGUGAAAUCUCCGGGCUUAACUCGGAACGGUCAAGUGAUACUGUCGGACUAGAGUACAGAAGGGGCAACUGGAAUUCUCGGUGUAGCGGUGAAAUGCGUAGAUAUCGAGAGGAACACCUGCGGCGAAGGCGGGUUGCUGGGCUGAUACUGACGCUGAGGCGCGAAAGCCAGGGGAGCGAACGGG